Molecule: long non-coding RNA, 171 nt
Organism: Nomascus leucogenys (northern white-cheeked gibbon)
Lineage: Eukaryota; Metazoa; Chordata; Mammalia; Primates; Hylobatidae
Exons: 3
Source: RefSeq, a predicted model, not a curated record
GUGAUGUUCCCCACCCUCUGUCCACGUGUUCUCAUUGUUCAAUUCCCACCUGUGAGUGAGAACAUGUGGAGUUUGGUUUUCUGACCUUGUGAUAGUUGGCACAGAAUGAUGGUUUCCAGCUUCAUCCAUGUCCCUACAAACGACAUGAACUCAUCAGACAAUCAUAGAUUU